GGAUUCCCCGAGUAGCUGCGAGCNAAAAGGGAAGAGCUCAGCACGCAGGGGUGGCGCACUACCCGCGUCUACCCGGUUCCGUGUACUGGAAAUUUUGUCAUCUGCCAUGCCCGGCGCAGUGUCCAAGUUCAACUAGAAUGUGGCUUUUACUCCCAUAGAGGGUGAUAGGCCCGUAGGACGGCGCUGAUGGUGGAAAAUUUUUCCAUGGAGUCGUGUUGCUUGAUAGUGCAGCACAAAGUGGGAGGUAAACUCCUUCUAAAGCUAAAUAUCACC
Molecule: ribosomal RNA, 273 nt
Filed under: Culex pipiens (northern house mosquito)
Lineage: Eukaryota; Metazoa; Arthropoda; Insecta; Diptera; Culicidae
Description: partial 28S ribosomal RNA
Rfam family: Eukaryotic large subunit ribosomal RNA
Source: RNAcentral